GGGCCACAAGGCAAGGAUAAACAUUGUUAAAUCUUGAAAUAUCCAUUACCAUUUCAGUUUCCUUAUAAUACAUCUCUGAUUCCAUUCCUCUUUUAAUACAAAUCUACUACUUAAUCUUGCCUAUGAUCAACCAUAAGCAAAACAGAGAAGCUCUAAAACCUGAAACUUCCUUGACAGCCUUAGGUGGGGAAGAAUGAUAUUCGUUCAUGAAAAAACAGAUAUCUCUUUCAAUAACCAGAAUACCAAGAUAUUUGAAGACAAUUACUUUAGUAGCGGAGGAAGUUGUUCAAAUGACUGGUUGAACUUGAGCAUAGGGCGGAACAGCGAAUUUAUGGAUACAGACCAGGCUGCUCUAUCAAAAUCCACUUCCAACAAGGUCUUCCCUUGCAACUUCUGCAAGAGAAAGUUCCAUAGCUCUCAAGCACUCGGUGGCCACCAGAAUGCCCACAAGAGGGAGAGAGGAGCGAUCAAAAGGCAUGAAUAUGAGAGGCAAAUUGCAGCAAAUGGUCUGUUUACCGGCAAAACAAUGGCUCUGUUACUUGGUGUUCAGGCUCAUUCACUUGUCCAUAAACCAAACAGAGAACAAGAUGCUAUGAUUGCAAGAUUCAAUAAUAACAUUGAUCAGAGAUUAGGGGCGCAAAGAGCAACAAUUAUGCCUGGAGAUGCAAUAAUGGCAAAGUGGCCAGGAAGCUUUGGCAUACCCUCAGACCAGCACAAACAGCCAACGGAAUUGCUUAAAGUUGACUUGACACUGCGACUUUAGUACAUCAUGUUACAUUAGUUUCUAUAUGAUCAGCAAGUGAUUUGUUUGGGACACUUCAAAGAAGCAGAACCCCUCAAGGAAAGGUUACUUAGCUGCUGAACGGUCUGUUUACUUGAAAGAUUAUCACCAAGCCAUCUCAUGGUGAAAAUUCAGAGGGAACAGUCAAAUUCAUUGCUAGCAGGCGGGCGAACAUCAUCUUAAAGCACAAGGGCUUUAUUACACGAUUCAUAUGUUGAAAUAAGAGAGGACAU
Ricinus communis (castor bean) is the source of this 1014-nucleotide RNA transcript. It is a transcript of the gene named zinc finger protein 1, with no coding region annotated. The record is from RefSeq and is a predicted model, not a curated record. Lineage: Eukaryota; Viridiplantae; Streptophyta; Magnoliopsida; Malpighiales; Euphorbiaceae. The transcript is spliced from 2 exons.